UGGCGAACGGGUGAGUAACACGUGGGUGAUCUGCCCUGCACUCUGGGAUAAGCCUGGGAAACUGGGUCUAAUACCGGAUAGGACCAUGCUUUAGUGUGUGUGGUGGAAAGUUUUUUCGGUGUAGGAUGAGCUCGCGGCCUAUCAGCUUGUUGGUGGGGUAAUGGCCUACCAAGGCGGCGACGGGUAGCCGGCCUGAGAGGGUGUACGGCCACAUUGGGACUGAGAUACGGCCCAG
This 235-nucleotide ribosomal RNA is filed under the name uncultured Actinomycetales bacterium. RNAcentral describes it as "partial 16S ribosomal RNA". It matches the Rfam family "Bacterial small subunit ribosomal RNA", at positions 96 to 334 of the family's 1533-position model. Lineage: Bacteria; Bacillati; Actinomycetota; Actinomycetes; Actinomycetales. The record is from RNAcentral.